Molecule: long non-coding RNA, 1461 nt
Organism: Homo sapiens (human)
Lineage: Eukaryota; Metazoa; Chordata; Mammalia; Primates; Hominidae
Product: long intergenic non-protein coding RNA 486
Source: Ensembl
CCUUUUUAUUAUUCUGACUUAUAAACUGCAGUGACCUCUGAGUCAACUUCGCCAUCUCUUGGCCCUGUGCCAACAUUGUGUUCUGUGAAAAGAGAGUCCUGCCAAGGGCUACGAGGCAGAAAACUGAUAUUAUUAAAGUGGUCUUCUGAACGCAACUCUCUGCAAGGUCCUAAGGGUUCUAAGUUGAAUAAGGCCCACUCCCUCCCUUCCAGGACUUUAGCUGAGGUUGGUUGGGGCAGAAGUCGGGCAAGACUCAUCGGAACGGAUUAACAGAGACAGAAUCCAGAGGCAACGGGGUGAAUUCCAAGUAUAGAAAAGACACACUUGGUCUGAGGGUAUGUUUCAGCUCAGGCAUGCUGCCAUCAGGACCACGUAAAGCUGGAUUUUUCUACGCUAGUCCAUUUGCACGAUCUGGACUCAGAAGAGAUUUAAGUUUCAAAUCUGGCUUUGUCAGUUAAUGCUUGUGGGAUCUCAACCACGUCACUGACUUCUCUGAGCAUGCUUCCAUAUUUCUACAAAGGAAACAAUAGGUGACUCUGCUGAGUUGAGCACUUGCGAGUACCAAGCAGUGAGGACCUGAGGCACAGAUGCUAACCAGCUUGCUGGAGAUCACACACUCAUGAGUGGCAGAGUGGGGCUUGGAACCGGGUAGCCUGGCUCUGGAGCCCUCACUCCAUCCACACACCAUGCUGGGACCCAGUCGAGUGACCAGCAGACCGGUUGUGUGGGUUAGGUGGAAUGGUGGAUAUAAACCACACAGCCCAGCUCCUGACCCAUGCUGGGCCCUCAUUCCUCCUGAAUUCCUUCUCAUUCCUGCCGCCUUCUGAAGAAGGUGCCUUGCUUCCCCUUCACCUUCUGCCGUGAUUGUAACUUUCCUGAGGCCUCCCCAGCCAUGCUGAACUCAUGAGGCAGGAAAGGAUAGAAGCCUUUCAGAGCCUGAGCCAAGUUCCUCCUCACAGAAGCACAGAGGACACUUACUCCAUCUCUGAAAAAGCUGCCCACACCCCACCUCCAUCCAGCCUUCCAAAAGCCACCACGAAUGACCCGUAGGAGGGGCAGAGUGUGCCACUUGCUACGGACCAGAACCUCUGGGGAGCGGGGAUCAUCUCUGUGUCUCUCUGCUUCAACUGCAUUUAAAAUGAACAUUCUUAAUGAUAAACCUUUCCGUGUGUAAAGAAGGGCGUGGAAAAAUGUAUGUACUGGAGACUCGGGUAAUGACUUUCUAAGUGUGGAAAAUUUUCCCCCAAAGUGUUUCCAAAUAUAGAAAAGUCACAUAAUAAAUGAUGAGGGCUCAUAAACCUUUCUGGCAGCAGUUGCAGGGGUCAGAACAAGGAAGAAGGAAUUCCCAGCUCCUAGGGCCUCGCAUCCCACACUGUCUUCUGGGCUACUGUGCAACCAAUGGUUCCGUAUCUGUACGUACCCAGGGGCUCCUUAGAUAAAUAAUUGAAGUGAAAUAUCAAA